CCUGCUGAAGAGAUACCAUACACACAGUCUGUAGUUUACUGCCCUGCUGAAGAGAUACCAUACACACAGUCUGUAGUUUACUGCCCUGCUGAAGAGAUACCAUACACACAGUCUGUAGUUUACUGCCCUGCUGAAGAGAUACCAUACACACAGUCUGUAGUUUACUGCCCUGCUGAAGAGAUACCAUACACACAGUCUGUAGUUUACUGCCCUGCUGAAGAGAUACCAUACACACAGUCUGUAGUUUACUGCCCUGCUGAAGAGAUUCUUUAAAGCUGCAAUCAGCAGUUGAAACAAAAAACAAAGCCUUUUCCCCUCCACUGUUUUGCUAAAAAGCUGAGUAAUGGGGCCGGAGAAAUGUGACCACUCUCCAUUUCAUAGACAGAGCUGUAGAUACAAGGACUGAUUGUCUAAUACAACACCAUGAUAGUUUGAACCGUGUUCUGAGGCUAUUCACUUCCUUUGUUUAGGCAUAUUGGAGAAAAACAAGCUGAUAUUUUGAGUGUCACAGUUGACCUAAGCGCAUGAGGCAAUUUAUUUUACCUUUAUUUAACUGGGCGAGUCAGUUAAGAACAAACUCGUAUUUACAGUGACGGCCCAGGAACAGUGGGGUUAACUGCCUUUUUCAGGGGCAGAAAGACAGAUUUUUACCUCUUCAGCUUAGGGAUUCGAUCUAGCAACCUUUCGGUUACUGGCCCAACGCUCCAACCACUAGUUUACCUGCCACUGACCAGUUAUAUUCUUCAAGAAUCAAUGGAUACACCUGUAUAUCAUUCAUUUAUAAGUCCAAAAAUGGAUGUGUCUACUGCAGAUUGUCUCUCUAAGAUGAGGUGACAUGUUCUUCAGUAUAAACCUAAAGAGAGAUUCCACAGCUGUGAUUAGGAUGACUGUGCUGACGGAGGAUACAGGGGGAGACGAGGGAGGGGGGGCGAGGAGGUGUCCUAUUACCCAUGAUCCUCCUGUCUCAUCGCCAUCACUCAGGGUCUAGGUCUGUUGGUACAUGCCCUUCCUUCCUUCCCAGCGUCCCUCAUCCACAACGCUCCAAUUCACCUCUCAGCUGCCACUCAGCGGCUUUUAAACACAUUCUAACACACAUCAAAGGAACCACUUCUCCUUGAGGAGCUCAAACACUUCAGGAGACUCGGACCGCAGAAAAGGAGGAGGUCUGGGAGACUCUGACCGCAGGAAAGGAGGAGGUCUGGGAGACUCGGACCGCAGAAAAGGAGGAGGUCUGGGAGACUCUGACCGCAGGAAAGGAGGAGGUCUGGGAGACUCGGACCGCAGAAAAGGAGGAGAUCUGGGAGACUCGAACCGCAGAAAAGGAGGAGGUCUGGGAGACUCGGACCGCAGAAAAGGAGGAGGUCUGGGAGACUCGGACCGCAGAAAAGGAGGUCUGGGAGACUCGGACCGCAGAAAAGGAGGAGGUCUGGGAGACUCGGACCGCAGAAAAGGAGGAGGUCUGGGAGACUCGGACCGCAGAAAAGGAGGAGGUCUGGGAGACUCGGACCGCAGAAAAGGAGGUCUGGGAGACUCGGACCGCAGAAAAGGAGGAGGUCUGCUAUGGAUUCUUUAACAUCAGAAAUAGACGUUAAAAUGACAAGACUCUUGAAUACGGACACUGAAUCUUAGAGUGUUCAGUUUACCUUCAUGAUGAGUGCAAGAGCAGUAUUAAUUCAUAUUCACAAUGAUGACCAUGUUAUCUGAGGGUUAGUGCUAGUGUUAGGUUUAGGCUUAGGCUUAGGUUUAGGCUUAGGUCUAGGCUUAGGCUUAGGUUUAGGCUUAGGGAUAUGUGACGUCAAAGUUGUAAACUUUAUGAUGAGUGCAAGUGCAUAUUAAUUCAUAUUAACAAGGAUGACCAUGUUAUCUGAGGGUUAGUGCUAGUGUUAAGUUUAGGUUUAGGCUUAAGGUUAGGUUUAUUGUUAGGCUUAGGCUUAGGUUUAAGGUUAGGGUUAGGCUUAGGCUUAGGUUUAGGAUUAGGGUUAGGUUUAAGGUUAGGUUUAGGUUUAGGGUUAGGUUUAAGGUUAGGUUUAUUGUUAGGCUUAGGUUUAGGGUUAGGCUUAGGCUUAGGUUAAAGGUUAGGUUUAUUGUUAGGCUUAGGGUUAUGUGAUGUCUAAGUUGUAUAAUUGUGUAUAUUCUAUGAACUACUGCCAUUACAUAAUAACGAGGGUUGAUUGUUUCUGAGUGGUGUGAGCAGACCCCAGUGUGAGGUCGUGUAGAGUCGCCCCACAGGAGGCCAUCGUCCUGUAAUCAAUACCAAUCCAAACCAAUACUGGAUCAAUACCAGGACCACCUGAGAGACUCAACACACCACUGCCUUGUCAGUCCUUUAGUUCUGCUGCUUUAAUCAUCUGUCUACACCUGACGCUGUUUGUCUUUCUCACCACUGUCUCUCACCAGCAUCACUUCUGUCUGUCUGUCUGUCUGUCUGUCUGGUGGGGGUUGGUAACUGGCCAGCCUGCUCACACACUUCAAAGAUGCUGUUCUCUCUAUUAGAAUGGGUUACUGCUGUCUUGUCAAGGUGUGUUUUGCAUUAUGUCACCGAAUAACUAUUGUAGGUAAUAGUUAAAACUCAGUGGGGGCCCGCCCACAGGGCGCUAGGGGCGACGCUCCACUUGUGAUUGGUCCAAAAAAUAAAAUAAAAAAUAAUAGAAAAGUAUAUAUAUUAAGUAAUUAAUGGAUUAUGUUUUCAAUGUUCAUAAGAGUGUGAUGUAUGUGUACAUUUUCCUAUUUCAACAAUCUAUUGGUUAAAACAAUCUGUUUGGUUCCUUCCUACCCUGCCAGCAGCAGCAGCUCCGUGGGCUCACAGGCGCUGAAAACAUUUCAUGGCUUGUUUCACCAGUUAUUUACUCCGAGGGGGAACUUCCCCGGUGAUACGUUUUAACAGCACGAAGUAAACGGACCUUCCUGGAGCGUUCAAACGUCAGAACCAGAACCUCUGGGUCUAGUCUCCUUCCUGUGACGGCUCACCUCCUCAACUGAGACCAGUUCUGCUCGAGUCUCCUUUCUAUGACGGCUCACUUCCUCAACUGAGACCAGGUCUGCUCUAGUCUCCUUCCUAUGACGGCUCACUUCCUCAACUGAGACCAGGUCUGCUCUAGUCUCCUUCCUAUGACGGCUCACUUCCUCAACUGAGACCAGGU
Oncorhynchus tshawytscha (Chinook salmon) is the source of this 3140-nucleotide long non-coding RNA. NCBI's taxonomy places the organism in Eukaryota, Metazoa, Chordata, Actinopteri, Salmoniformes, Salmonidae. The record is from Ensembl.